This 284-nucleotide ribosomal RNA is filed under the name Bacillus subtilis. Its description in RNAcentral is "partial 16S ribosomal RNA". It matches the Rfam family "Bacterial small subunit ribosomal RNA", at positions 555 to 839 of the family's 1533-position model. The record is from RNAcentral. Lineage: Bacteria; Bacillati; Bacillota; Bacilli; Caryophanales; Bacillaceae.
UGGGCGUAAGGGCUCGCAGGCGGUUUCUUAAGUCUGAUGUGAAAGCCCCCGGCUCAACCGGGGAGGGUCAUUGGAAACUGGGGAACUUGAGUGCAGAAGAGGAGAGUGGAAUUCCACGUGUAGCGGUGAAAUGCGUAGAGAUGUGGAGGAACACCAGUGGCGAAGGCGACUCUCUGGUCUGUAACUGACGCUGAGGAGCGAAAGCGUGGGGAGCGAACAGGAUUAAAUACCCUGGUAGUCCACGCCGUAGACGAUGAGUGCUAAAUGUUAGGAGGUUUCCCCCC